Molecule: long non-coding RNA, 499 nt
Filed under: Androctonus crassicauda
Lineage: Eukaryota; Metazoa; Arthropoda; Arachnida; Scorpiones; Buthidae
Source: RNAcentral
UACAGUAGAAUGGAAGGCAGAAUACUGGGGCUCGAGCACUCAGCUGGAAUAAAGAUUCAAGGAAAUGGAAAGUACUAGAAACAGACUCCUCCAGCCUCCUCCCCAUGGGAUCCUAAGGGUGGGAAGGAGAAAAAGAACAAAAGUACACUGAUGUCCUUGUCCUGUAUCAACUAUCCCUGGGUCAUCUGCCACCCACUUUCCAAGACCUUUCUCCUACUCAACCAGGAAGCCGUGGUUUCUGCAAUCCAGGGCCAUGGCAACUGUGACUCCAAGCUCUCUCUGUCUCAUCCAGUCAACUUUUCUGCCUCCUAACCAAGGAAUUCCUCUACGCAGGCUCUUGUUGCCCAGGCUAGCCCUCUUUUUCAGCCAGGAUGUGGAGCUGAAGGAGACCCUAGUGUUUACUUUCUCCAGUCCUAGCUCUGCCAUAUAAACACUGUUUCAUGCUGUGCUUCUUAAAUGAUAAAGGACACAGUGACUUUUGGGGAUAGAUUUGUCUGGG